UAGUAAUUGGAAUGAUGGGAAUUUAAACCUCUUCCAGAGUAUCUACUCGGAGGGCAAGUCAGGUGCCAGCAGCCGCGGUAAUUCCUGCUCACUUAGCGUAUAUUAAAAUUGUUGCAGUUAAAAAGCUCGUAGUUGAAUUUCUGCUGUAUUGCAUUUUCUCUUUUUAUAUGAGUUUUUGCAUUAUGGCUUAUUUCAGUAUUAAUUUUUUAUUAUUACUGAAUGUUUACUUUGAGAAAAUUAGAGUGCUCAAAGCAGGCUUUUGCCUUGAAUAGUUUAGCAUGGAAUAAUAAAGUAGGACUUUGGUUCUAUUUUGUUGGUUUUAGGUACCAAAGUAAUGGUUAAUAGGAACAGUUGGGGGCAUUCGUAUUUAACUGUCAGAAGGUGAAAUUCUUAGAC
This 396-nucleotide ribosomal RNA is filed under the name Theileria sp. OT3. Its description in RNAcentral is "SSU rRNA". It matches the Rfam family "Eukaryotic small subunit ribosomal RNA", at positions 503 to 925 of the family's 1831-position model. Lineage: Eukaryota; Apicomplexa; Aconoidasida; Piroplasmida; Theileriidae. The record is from RNAcentral.